RNAcentral lists this transfer RNA (73 nucleotides) under Loxodonta africana (African savanna elephant). It matches the Rfam family "tRNA". From Rfam's summary of the family: Transfer RNA (tRNA) molecules are approximately 80 nucleotides in length. Their secondary structure includes four short double-helical elements and three loops (D, anti-codon, and T loops). Further hydrogen bonds mediate the characteristic L-shaped molecular structure. tRNAs have two regions of fundamental functional importance: the anti-codon, which is responsible for specific mRNA codon recognition, and the 3' end, to which the tRNAs corresponding amino acid is attached (by aminoacyl-tRNA synthetases). tRNAs cope with the degeneracy of the genetic code in two manners: having more than one tRNA (with a specific anti-codon) for a particular amino acid; and 'wobble' base-pairing, i.e. permitting non-standard base-pairing at the 3rd anti-codon position. The record is from Rfam by way of RNAcentral. Lineage: Eukaryota; Metazoa; Chordata; Mammalia; Proboscidea; Elephantidae.
UCCUGGGUGGUCCAGAGGAUAAGGCACUUGGCUGCUAACCAAAAGGUUGGUGGUUUGAGUCCACCCAGAGGUG